Long non-coding RNA from Passer domesticus (house sparrow), 613 nucleotides. RefSeq lists it as uncharacterized. The record is from RefSeq and is a predicted model, not a curated record. NCBI's taxonomy places the organism in Eukaryota, Metazoa, Chordata, Aves, Passeriformes, Passeridae. The transcript has 2 exons.
CCGGUACCGGCACGGCUGGUUCGGGUGGGCGGGAGCCACGGGACGGCGCCACUGAGCGCGGGCCGGCGUUUGCAUGGGCAAUUUACAUAUGCAAAUGAUCACAGAAUCAUUUAGGUUGAAAAAGAUUGCCAAGACCAUCAAGUCCAGCCUGUGACCAGUCACCAGCUGGACAAGACCACUGAGUGCCACAAGCAGUCACUCCUUGAAAACGUCCAAGGACAAUGACUCUAGCACCAAUGGAGCCCCAGUUCCCUCCUCCACCCCAAGCAAGAGAAUGGGUCAAAACUCUCUGGAUUUGUGAAUGUCCAGAUUGUGGUAACAACAGGGUGUUGGGGUAAUACAGGAGAAGGUGGGUGUGUCCUGAAGAAACCACAUCUAUCCUGUGAAGUACCCACCCCAGAGAAGGAGAAAUGCAAGGAAGAAUUGAGCAGAUGGGAGUUUAUAUACACUGAUCACAUCCCCCAUUCCCCAUCUCCACUGCACUGCCCAGGCUAGAGGGGAAGGGAGGAGUUGGGGAUGUGAAGCUGAGUCUGGGAAAAAAGUGGUUUAAAUCUUGUCUUGGUUUCUCAACAUCCAAACAUAUUUUAAUUUGCAAUAAAUUAUUUUUUUCCAA